UACAGUAGGGUAGAGCUGAAAGCAUUGUGU
RNAcentral lists this non-coding RNA (30 nucleotides) under Homo sapiens (human). Lineage: Eukaryota; Metazoa; Chordata; Mammalia; Primates; Hominidae. The record is from RNAcentral.